GACGAACGCUGGCGGCGUGCCUAAUACAUGCAAGUCGAACGCAGUGGGGACGGGUGAGUAACACGUGGUUAACCUCCCAUCAGAGGGGAUAACACUUGGAAACAGGUGCUAAACCGAUACUGAUGGAUGGACCCGCGGUGCAGUAGCUAGUUGGUGAGGUAACGGCACACCAAGGCCAUGAUGCAUAGCCAGCCUGAAGGGGUGAUAGGCAACACUGGGACUGAAACACGGCACAGACUCCUACGGUAGGCAGCAGUAGGGAAUCUUCGGCAAGGGACGAAAGUCUGACCGAGCAAUGCCCAGUGAGUUAAGAAGGUUUUCGAAACGUAAAACUAUUUUGUGAGGGAAGCGGUAUCUGACCAGAAAGCCACGGCUAACUACGUGCCAGCAGCCGCGGUAAUAC
This 403-nucleotide ribosomal RNA is filed under the name uncultured bacterium. Its description in RNAcentral is "partial 16S ribosomal RNA". It matches the Rfam family "Bacterial small subunit ribosomal RNA", at positions 28 to 526 of the family's 1533-position model. The record is from RNAcentral.